Long non-coding RNA from Xenopus laevis (African clawed frog), 800 nucleotides. RefSeq lists it as uncharacterized. The transcript has 4 exons. The record is from RefSeq and is a predicted model, not a curated record. NCBI's taxonomy places the organism in Eukaryota, Metazoa, Chordata, Amphibia, Anura, Pipidae.
CCCAGGCAAACACAUAACUAUGUGAAGACUGCCAGAUCUUUAACUCAUUAAAUACACCUCAUUGAGGGCUGCAAAGAUUUCAACACUGCCCUGUUCCUUCCAUCAUUCACAGCAACCCUCAACGACUUUUUCCUAAUAUGGAGUAAUGCCAUCACCCCAAGCAGGGACAGGAACAGUCAUCUAUAAGAAGCAGGUACACCUGGCCUUGUCUCUGAUGGAACCUCUCCAGGAUGAUGCUGAGAAGGGGAACGUGUAACACCAACCCUCUGCCCAUGCAGCUUUAUGUUAAAGACCAGUAGCUGAAAGCCGAAUCGGAUUUAUGCAGCAUUUUGGUGGGCAGAACCUGGACAAGGAAACAUUAUUGUCUCUGAGAGUUUGCAAUCUAACCGAAAGCUCCAAGAAUAAAAGCAUCAAGGGUGCUGUAGUCCCAUGCGAUUACAUCACACUGAUAGUUGGACUACAAGUGAACCCUGAUCCCAAGUUCACACUGCAAGUCUCUGUAUCAAGAGUAGAUUGGACUGUGAUCAGUGGAGCAGAGGUAGGUAGCAUCAUGGCAUAAGAAUGAGGAAGCUGAACUACAAGUUUAAACCACGGCCAGAACUUUGGCAAGAAAAUAUCGCAAGGACGGGCAGAAAUCUAGAGGAAGAAUAAGCAAUAGCAAGGCAUUAGAAUGUGAUCUAUAGGCAGGCUCUGUACCUUUUUAGAAGGUUAUGAGCAUAUUGGGGUUUGUGGCCCCCACGUUAUUUUUACAUUUUUUUUUUCAUUCCUUUAAUCACUCCAUAAACAAGUGCAGUGUUUUU